This is an RNA transcript of Vespa velutina, 2420 nucleotides long. It is a transcript of the gene named F-box/LRR-repeat protein 2-like, with no coding region annotated. NCBI's taxonomy places the organism in Eukaryota, Metazoa, Arthropoda, Insecta, Hymenoptera, Vespidae. The transcript has 3 exons. The record is from RefSeq and is a predicted model, not a curated record.
AUACGAACUACACGAAUGUUCGCGAUUCGUCACGCGUGAACGAACUUAACCUCAUCGUGACCAAAGGUUGAACGAAACAUAACCUCUCCAAAAUGAUAUUCGGAAGAUAAUUUUUGUAAUUGCGAGUGAUCGAGAAAGUGUCGAAAGAAGAGACAUAUAGAUAGACAAACGGACAGAAAAACAGACAGAUAGAUAGAUAGAUAGUUAGAAAGACAGAUAGAUAAAGUUAUAGAGUGAGAAAGAAAAGAAAUAAAGAAGAAAUGAUACUGAGGCUAGUGGACUUGCCUUGGUACGACGUGAUCUACAGGCACAUCUUUAUUCGACUGGAUCUGCGGGACCUUUGUAACCUUCGAUGCCUCUCCUCAACAGAGUACCAAGUCCUGGUCGACAAUUACAUCGCCACAUGGGACACGUUGGACAUCUCUUCAUACACGGAUUUUGAGCCCAACUCCUUCGAAGUAUAGUCCAUAGGUGUUCGGUAGUAGCAAGGCUAUCGAGUCCUACAUCACACAUCAUAUUACAAUAUGCAUAAUAGUUCGAAACAUUCCCUUCUGGCGCGUCGUUCGUUAUUUUGUUUUGUUUUGUUUCGCUUCGCUUUUUUUAUAUAUAUUUUUUAUUACUUUUUGUUUUCGUUCAUUUCGCUUUGUUUCGUAAUUUGGCAUUUUUUUUCUUUUUUUUUUUUCUUUUUUUUUCUUUUCUUUUUUUUUCUUUUUUUUUAUUUUUUUAUUUAUUUUUUUUUUUUUUACCGACGACGACACCCGACGACGAUGGCGGCGAAGACGAAGCCGGCAAGAGACAAGUUUUUUCCCGUCACGCGCGUGAAGGGGUAGUAGCAGUAGUAGCGUGGUAGUCGUGCCUGGUAUACAUACGUCCCGUACCUGCAGAUGCUUUUUAUUUAUAUAUUCAUUUAUGUAUUUAGUUAUUUAUUUAUUGAGAGGACAUCGAUGGCCAGUCACUCUUACGCGUGUAUGUACACGUAUACAAAUUAUUUUUUUUAUUUUUACUUUUUUUUUGUUUGGUCAUCCCGAUACUCUACACAUCUCGAUUCCGAUCCUAUGCGAUUCGCUUUCUUUCCGUUUGACUUUUUAUAUAUAUAUAUAUAUAUAUAAUCCGAAAUCCUUCAAUGAUUUUGCUUGUACAUUAUAUACAUAUAUAGGGAAUAGAUUGUGCUUAUUUAUUUAUCUUUUUUGUGUUUUCUAAUUUCGUCCGUUCACGCUCCGUGUUUCUAUGUACACGCUAUACAUAUGCAUUUUUGAUCUAUAUUUCUUUACUUUGUCAAGGGAUUCGUAAAAGGCUGCAAGAGGUUGCGACGUGUCGACCUUAGUAAUAGCUACUGGCUCGGAAGUUCUCAUCUCGUCGACCUUCUCGGUUCACAUCCCGGGCUCACGCAUUUGGACUUGACCGGUUGUAACGGACCGCAGAUGCGGUGCGACUUUAUCGAGAUAACCAAAUGUCGUAAUCUCACGUCUGUAAGGCUAAAAGGCUGCGACUGGGUCACCACAGAUUUCCUAUUGUCGUUAGUUCGGUACAACCGUAACCUUCGACGACUUGUAUUAGCCGAUUGUUAUCAAAUAUCCGACGAGGCUGUGGAGUCCAUGUUCGAGUUUCUCACAACAUUGACCGAUCUCAGCUUGGAGAAGACCGCCAUCACGGAUAAAAGUCUUCUGGCAAUGGUCGAACACGGUGUCACGGCGAUCGAGUAUCUCGACUUGCGUUAUUGCCACGGAAUCACCGAUUAUGGUCUGAUGCUACUGAGACCGUUACGAUCUAUGAAAAGACUUUGGAUCCUCGGUUGUCGUUCGAUUACCGAACGUGGUCUCGCGAGCUUUCGCGAGCGUAUGGAAAUCGAUCUUUCUCCGAGACCGAUCUGCGCGAUUCGACCUCCGUCCUUGCAAGUAUAACAUUUUUUCCGGCUCGUUUCUCUUCCUUCUCUUCUUUCGCGUGUAUUUUGGUCAUUAAGAUCCUCCUUUUUCCAAUGGGCGCUGUGCUGCAUUCUUUCGGCAUCGCGUAACACCGCGCCAACCGUAAAAUACAUUUAUAUUCAAAGAAGAUAUAAGUUAAACUGAGGAUGGAUACAUUUUUGCAACGAACAAUCACACGCAAAAUAGAAUAUUGAAUAGAAUAUUGAAAAUAGAAUAUUGUAAAAUGACCGUACGAUAACUUGUCAAACUAAAUAAUCGACGUUGCAUCUUUGGAUGCAUCCACAAUAUGGCGGACGACAUAUACAUUUAUCUUCAAUUUCAUAUCGAUCGAUUCACUUCGAUCGAAAUUUUCGUUCUAAUUAAGAAAUAGGAAAUAAUUAGAUAUGUAGAAGAGAGAAAAAGCGAGGAUCGCCAAGUAGAAUUUCAUGAAGAAAUUGUAAAGACGAUGAUGAUGAUGAUAAUAAUAAUGAUAAUAAUAAUGAUAAUGAUAAUGAUAAU